This 500-nucleotide ribosomal RNA is filed under the name uncultured bacterium. Its description in RNAcentral is "partial 16S ribosomal RNA". It matches the Rfam family "Bacterial small subunit ribosomal RNA", at positions 30 to 523 of the family's 1533-position model. The record is from RNAcentral.
AUUGAACGCUGGCGGCAGGCCUAACACAUGCAAGUCGAGCGGUAGAGAGAAGCUUGCUUCUCUUGAGAGCGGCGGACGGGUGAGUAAUGCCUAGGAAUCUGCCUGGUAGUGGGGGAUAACGUUCGGAAACGGACGCUAAUACCGCAUACGUCCUACGGGAGAAAGCAGGGGACCUUCGGGCCUUGCGCUAUCAGAUGAGCCUAGGUCGGAUUAGCUAGUUGGUGAGGUAAUGGCUCACCAAGGCGACGAUCCGUAACUGGUCUGAGAGGAUGAUCAGUCACACUGGAACUUAGACACGGUCAAGACUCCUACGGGAGGCAGCAGUGGGGAAUAUUGGACAAUGGGCGAAAGCCUGAUCCAGCCAUGCCGCGUGUGUGAAGAAGGUCUUCGGAUUGUAAAGCACUUUAAGUUGGGAGGAAGGGUUGUAGAUUAAUACUCUGCAAUUUUGACGUUACCGACAGAAUAAGCACCGGCUAACUCUGUGCCAGCCGCCGCAGUAA